This 253-nucleotide ribosomal RNA is filed under the name uncultured bacterium. Its description in RNAcentral is "partial 16S ribosomal RNA". It matches the Rfam family "Bacterial small subunit ribosomal RNA", at positions 524 to 776 of the family's 1533-position model. The record is from RNAcentral.
UACGUAGGUGGCAAGCGUUGUCCGGAAUUAUUGGGCGUAAAGAGCUCGUAGGCGGUCUGUCGCGUCUGCUGUGAAAACUCGGGGCUUAACCCCGGGCCUGCAGUGGGUACGGGCAGACUAGAGUGCGGUAGGGGAGACUGGAAUUCCUGGUGUAGCGGUGAAAUGCGCAGAUAUCAGGAGGAACACCGGUGGCGAAGGCGGGUCUCUGGGCCGAUACUGACGCUGAGGAGCGAAAGCGUGGGGAGCGAACAGG